GAUGAACGCUGGCGGCGUGCCUAAUACAUGCAAGUCGAGCGAACGGACGAGAAGCUUGCUUCUCUGAUGUUAGCGGCGGACGGGUGAGUAACACGUGGAUACCCUACCUAUCAGACUGGGAUAACUUCGGGAAACCGGCGCUAAUACCGGAUAAUAUUUUGAACCGCAUGGUUCAAAAGUGAAAGACGGUCUUGCUGUCACUUAUAGAUGGAUCCGCGCUGCAUUAGCUAGUUGGUAAGGUAACGGCUUACCAAGGCAACUAUGCAUAGCCGACCUGAGAGAGUGAUCGGCCACACGGGAACUGAGACACGGUCCAGACUCCUGCGGGAGGCAGCAGUAGGGAAUCUGCCGCAGUGGGCGAAAGCCUGGCGGAGCGACGCCGCGUGAGUGAUGAAGGUCUUCGGAUCGGAAAACUCUGUUAUUAGGGAAGAACAUAUGUGUAAGUAACUGUGCACAUCGUGACGGUACCUAAUCAGAAAGCCACGGCUAACUACGUG
Molecule: ribosomal RNA, 497 nt
Filed under: uncultured bacterium
Lineage: Bacteria
Description: partial 16S ribosomal RNA
Rfam family: Bacterial small subunit ribosomal RNA
Source: RNAcentral